UCUCCUGGUAGACUAGUGGUUAGCCCACAGCGCUCUCACUGCUACGGCCCGGGUUUGCUUCCCGGCCAGGGAA
This is a non-coding RNA of Pangasius djambal, 73 nucleotides long. NCBI's taxonomy places the organism in Eukaryota, Metazoa, Chordata, Actinopteri, Siluriformes, Pangasiidae. The record is from the annotation of a GenBank genome assembly.